GGUUAAGCGACUAAGCGUACACGGUGGAUGCCCUGGCAGUCAGAGGCGAUGAAGGACGUGCUAAUCUGCGAUAAGCGUCGGUAAGGUGAUAUGAACCGUUAUAACCGGCGAUUUCCGAAUGGGGAAACCCAGUGUGUUUCGACACACUAUCAUUAACUGAAUCCAUAGGUUAAUGAGGCGAACCGGGGAACUGAAACAUCUAAGUACCCCCGAGGAAAAGAAAUCAACCGAGAUUCCCCCAGUAGCGGCGAGCGAACGGGGAGCAGCCCAGAGCCUGAAUCAGUGUGUGUGUUAGUGGAAGCGUCUGGAAAGGCGCGCGAUACAGGGUGACAGCCCCGUACACAAAAAUGCACAUGCUGUGAGCUCGAUGAGUAGGGCGGGACACGUGGUAUCCUGUCUGAAUAUGGGGGACCAUCCUCCAAGGCUAAAUACUCCUGACUGACCGAUAGUGAACCAGUACCGUGAGGGAAAGGCGAAAAGAACCCCGGCGAGGGGAGUGAAAAAGAACCUGAAACCGUGUACGUACAAGCAGUGGGAGCACGCUUAGGCGUGUGACUGCGUACCUUUGUAUAAUGGGUCAGCGACUUAUAUUCUGUAGCAAGGUUAACCGAAUAGGGGAGCCGAAGGGAAACCGAGUCUUAACUGGGCGUUAAGUUGCAGGGUAUAGACCCGAAACCCGGUGAUCUAGCCAUGGGCAGGUUGAAGGUUGGGUAACACUAACUGGAGGACCGAACCGACUAAUGUUGAAAAAUUAGCGGAUGACUUGUGGCUGGGGGUGAAAGGCCAAUCAAACCGGGAGAUAGCUGGUUCUCCCCGAAAGCUAUUUAGGUAGCGCCUCGUGAAUUCAUCUCCGGGGUAGAGCACUGUUUCGGCAAGGGGGUCAUCCCGACUUACCAACCCGAUGCAAACUGCGAAUACCGGAGAAUGUUAUCACGGGAGACACACGGCGGGUGCUAACGUCCGUCGUGAAGAGGGAAACAACCCAGACCGCCAGCUAAGGUCCCAAAGUCAUGGUUAAGUGGGAAACGAUGUGGGAAGGCCCAGACAGCCAGGAUGUUGGCUUAGAAGCAGCCAUCAUUUAAAGAAAGCGUAAUAGCUCACUGGUCGAGUCGGCCUGCGCGGAAGAUGUAACGGGGCUAAACCAUGCACCGAAGCUGCGGCAGCGACGCUGAUGCGUUGUUGGGUAGGGGAGCGUUCUGUAAGCCUGCGAAGGUGUGCUGUGAGGCAUGCUGGAGGUAUCAGAAGUGCGAAUGCUGACAUAAGUAACGAUAAAGCGGGUGAAAAGCCCGCUCGCCGGAAGACCAAGGGUUCCUGUCCAACGUUAAUCGGGGCAGGGUGAGUCGACCCCUAAGGCGAGGCCGAAAGGCGUAGUCGAUGGGAAACAGGUUAAUAUUCCUGUACUUGGUGUUACUGCGAAGGGGGACGGAGAAGGCUAUGUUGGUCGGGCGACGGUUGUCCCGGUUUAAGCGUGUAGGCUGGUUUUCCAGGCAAAUCCGGAAAAUCAAGGCUGAGGCGUGAUGACGAGGCACUACGGUGCUGAAGCAACAAAUGCCCUGCUUCCAGGAAAAGCCUCUAAGCAUCAGGUAACAUCAAAUCGUACCCCAAACCGACACAGGUGGUCAGGUAGAGAAUACCAAGGCGCUUGAGAGAACUCGGGUGAAGGAACUAGGCAAAAUGGUGCCGUAACUUCGGGAGAAGGCACGCUGAUAUGUAGGUGAAGUCCCUUGCGGAUGGAGCUGAAAUCAGUCGAAGAUACCAGCUGGCUGCAACUGUUUAUUAAAAAACACAGCACUGUGCAAACACGAAAGUGGACGUAUACGGUGUGACGCCUGCCCGGUGCCGGAAGGUUAAUUGAUGGGGUUAGCGCAAGCGAAGCUCUUGAUCGAAGCCCCGGUAAACGGCGGUAGUAACUAUAACGGUCCUAAGGUAGCGAAAUUCCUUGUCGGGUAAGUUCCGACCUGCACGAAUGGCGUAAUGAUGGCAGGGCUGUCUCCACCCGAGACUCAGUGAAAUUGAACUCGCUGUGAAGAUGCAGUGUACCCGCGGCAAGACGGAAAGACCCCGUGAACCUUUACUAUAGCUUGACACUGAACAUUGAGCCUUGAUGUGUAGGAUAGGUGGGAGGCUUUGAAGUGUGGACGCCAGUCUGCAUGGAGCCGACCUUGAAAUACCACCCUUUAAUGUUUGAUGUUCUAACGUGGACCCGUGAUCCGGGUUGCGGACAGUGUCUGGUGGGUAGUUUGACUGGGGCGGUCUCCUCCUAAAGAGUAACGGAGGAGCACGAAGGUUGGCUAAUCCUGGUCGGACAUCAGGAGGUUAGUGCAAUGGCAUAAGCCAGCUUGACUGCGAGCGUGACGGCGCGAGCAGGUGCGAAAGCAGGUCAUAGUGAUCCGGUGGUUCUGAAUGGAAGGGCCAUCGCUCAACGGAUAAAAGGUACUCCGGGGAUAACAGGCUGAUACCGCCCAAGAGUUCAUAUCGACGGCGGUGUUUGGCACCUCGAUGUCGGCUCAUCACAUCCUGGGGCUGAAGUAGGUCCCAAGGGUAUGGCUGUUCGCCAUUUAAAGUGGUACGCGAGCUGGGUUUAGAACGUCGUGAGACAGUUCGGUCCCUAUCUGCCGUGGGCGCUGGAGAACUGAGGGGGCUGCUCCUAGUACGAGAGGACCGGAGUGGACGCAUCACUGGUGUUCGGGUUGUCAUGCCAAUGGCACUGCCCGGUAGCUAAAUGCGGAAGAGAUAAGUGCUGAAAGCAUCUAAGCACGAAACUUGCCCCGAGAUGAGUUCUCCCUGACUCCUUGAGAGUCCUGAAGGAACGUUGAAGACGACGACGUUGAUAGGCCGGGUGUGUAAGCGCAGCGAUGCGUUGAGCUAACCGGUACUAAUGAACCGUGAGGCUUAACCUU
Molecule: ribosomal RNA, 2900 nt
Filed under: Escherichia coli
Lineage: Bacteria; Pseudomonadati; Pseudomonadota; Gammaproteobacteria; Enterobacterales; Enterobacteriaceae
Description: 23S ribosomal RNA
Rfam family: Bacterial large subunit ribosomal RNA
Source: RNAcentral